This 292-nucleotide ribosomal RNA is filed under the name uncultured bacterium. Its description in RNAcentral is "partial 16S ribosomal RNA". It matches the Rfam family "Bacterial small subunit ribosomal RNA", at positions 505 to 796 of the family's 1533-position model. The record is from RNAcentral.
GUGUCAGCAGCCGCGGUAAUACGAAGGACCCGAGCGUUAUCCGGAUUUAUUGGGUUUAAAGGGUGCGUAGGUGGAACGGUAAGUCAGUGGUGAAAGCCUGUUGCUUAACAACAGAACUGCCAUCGAUACUGCCGAUCUUGAGUACAUAUGAUGUGGGCGGAAUGUGCCAUGUAGCGGUGAAAUGCUUAGAUAUGGCACAGAACACCGAUUGCGAAGGCAGCUCACAAAACUGUAACUGACACUGAGGCACGAAAGCGUGGGGAUCAAACAGGAUUAGAUACCCUGGUAGUCC